This 253-nucleotide ribosomal RNA is filed under the name uncultured bacterium. RNAcentral's name for it is "partial 16S ribosomal RNA". It matches the Rfam family "Bacterial small subunit ribosomal RNA", at positions 524 to 776 of the family's 1533-position model. The record is from RNAcentral.
UACAGAGGUCCCAAGCGUUGUUCGGAUUUACUGGACGUAAAGGGUGCGUAGGCGGCCAAAAAAGUCUGAUGUGAAAGCUCGGAGCUUAACUCCGAAACUGCAUUGGAUACUGGUUGGCUUGAGGAAUGGAGGGGAGACUGGAAUUCUCGGUGUAGCAGUGAAAUGCGUAGAUAUCGAGAGGAACACCAGUGGCGAAGGCGAGUCUCUGGACAUUCCCUGACGCUGAGGCACGAAAGCCAAGGGAGCAAACGGG